Molecule: long non-coding RNA, 672 nt
Filed under: Amborella trichopoda
Lineage: Eukaryota; Viridiplantae; Streptophyta; Magnoliopsida; Amborellales; Amborellaceae
Description: long non-coding RNA (ATRI_LNC003556)
Source: RNAcentral
CGAAAAUUUCUUCUUCAAAUAGAAAAAUUGGAGAGUCUUAUCAGCUUGUACUUAUUAAACUCAAUGAAAAUAACUACACCUUUUGGGUCUCAUUUAUGCAUAAUGUAAUUCAUGAAAAAUGAUUACUUCGAUACAUAGAUGAAACCCAAAGUGGUGGGUAAAUAAUGCUUGAAUUAUGACAUGGUUGAUAGUUUCAUCCGAGAGAAACAUAGAGAUCAAUUUGAGCAACUUCAAAACUGCCCAAAAAGGUUUCUUGAGGAGAUUUAUCAUCAGACAACUGAGCACGAAAACACUAGCUACUACAUGAUCUCAUCUCACUUAAACAGGAAGAGCAAUCUAUUAAGGAUUUCUAGUCUUCCUUGAAGAUGCAUUGGGAUGCUCUAGCACUUAUGGAACAUGUGAUUGAAAAUGGUUGUCGUGCAAAAAUAAUUGCAAAAUCAAAAGAUCAAUUUCAAGUAAUUGAAUUUUUAAUGGCACUUCGUCCAGAAUUUGAAAAUACCAAAAAUGCCCAGUUACACAUAAGCUGUCUCCUACUUUGAAUCGAGCCCUUUCUGAGUUAAUUGCAAAAGAAACUAAGAUUAAGUCCCUUAGUUCAGUUUUUAAGCGAGAAUCAGCUUUUACUACAUCACAUCCUCAGAGACCAAGUGAGACUAAACAACAUCUGCGAAAUCC